CCGUAAACGAUGGCAACUAGGUGUUGGGGGUCAUUGACCCCCUCAGUGCCGAAGCUAACGCGAUAAGUUGCCCGCCUGAGGACUACGAGCGCAAGCUUAAAACUCAAAGGAAUUGACGGGGACCCGCACAAGCAGCGGAGCGUGUGGUUUAAUUCGAUGCAACACGAAGAACCUUACCUGGGCUUGACAUUAUCUUGCCCGUCUAAGAAAUUAGAUCUUCUUCCUUUCGGGGAAGACAGGAUAACAGGUGGUGCAUGGUUGUCGUCAGCUCGUGUCGUGAGAUGUUGGGUUAAGUCCCACAACGAGCGCAACCCUUGUGCUUAGUUGCUAACUUGUUUUACAAGUGCACUCUAAGCAGACUGCCGCAGAUAAUGCGGAGGAAGGUGGGGAUGACGUCAAAUCAUCAUGCCCCUUACGUCCCGGGCUACACACGUGCUACAAUGGCCUGUACAGAGGGUAGCGAAAGAGCGAUCUUAAGCCAAUCCCAAAAAGCAGGCCCCAGUUCGGAUUGGAGGCUGCAACUCGCCUCCAUGAAGUAGGAAUCGCUAGUAAUCGCGGAUCAGCAUGCCGCGGUGAAUACGUUCCCGGGCCUUGUACACACCGCCCGUCACACCACGAAAGUUGGCGAUACCUGAAGUUACUGGGCUAACCUGGCACUCAACUAAGCACAUUAAGCCUUAUUUUAAGCAAAUAAGCUAGUGUAUUUAGUUGAGUGCCGGGAGGCAGGUACCGAAGGUAUGGCUGGCGAUUGGGGUG
Molecule: ribosomal RNA, 756 nt
Filed under: uncultured bacterium
Lineage: Bacteria
Description: bacterial SSU rRNA
Rfam family: Bacterial small subunit ribosomal RNA
Source: RNAcentral